AUUGAACGCUGGCGGCAUGCCUUACACAUGCAAGUCGAACGGCAGCACGAUCUAGCUUUCCAGAUUGAUGUCGAGUGGCGAAGGGGUGUGAAAUAUAUAUGAACGUCCCCUGUAGCGGGGGAGAACUCGUCGAAAGAUUAGCUAUUACCGCAUAUAACCUGAGCGUGAAAGUGCGGGAGCGCAAGGCCUCUUGCUAUAGUAGCGGCCGAGGUCUGAUUAGCUAGUUGGUGGGGUAAAGGCCCACCAAGGCGACGAUCAGUAGCUGGUCUGAGAGGAUGAUCAGCCACACUGGGACUGAGACACGGCCCAGACUCCUACGGGAGGCAGCAGUGGGGAAUUUUGGACAAUGGGGGCAAGCCUGAUCCAGCAAUGCCGCGUGUGUGAAGAAGGCCUUCGGGUUGUAAAGCACUUUUGUUCGGAAAGAAAAGGAGCUUACUAAUAUUAGGUGGGGAUGACGGUACCGAAAGAAUAAGCACCGGCUAACUACGUG
This 490-nucleotide ribosomal RNA is filed under the name uncultured bacterium. RNAcentral describes it as "partial 16S ribosomal RNA". It matches the Rfam family "Bacterial small subunit ribosomal RNA", at positions 30 to 507 of the family's 1533-position model. The record is from RNAcentral.